GUCUAUGUAUGCCAGCAUAUGUACGUGGUUCAGAGGCGUAGUAACAGGAACUAGACUUUCUUCUGAUUCCCAAUAAUUUAUUGGGAUGAAGUAAUUGAAAUGCUCUAUCGAUCGUAGCACGUAAGAGGGAUCAGCAUCAAAGUUAGAGCGAUAAAGAUCUUCUGCAAAUACCAAGAGACUUCUAAUCCGCACUUGAAGGGAUUUACUGCACUCCCAAUGCCCCAGGAGAAAUCUACCCAGAAACCAUAGCUCUGUCUUAAUCAACUUGAUUUCCUUCCUUUUGUCGUCCGUCAAGUCCUCAUGCUCAUUU
Molecule: unclassified non-coding RNA, 310 nt
Filed under: Hevea brasiliensis (rubber tree)
Lineage: Eukaryota; Viridiplantae; Streptophyta; Magnoliopsida; Malpighiales; Euphorbiaceae
Source: RNAcentral